Molecule: long non-coding RNA, 159 nt
Organism: Neoarius graeffei (lesser salmon catfish)
Lineage: Eukaryota; Metazoa; Chordata; Actinopteri; Siluriformes; Ariidae
Exons: 3
Source: RefSeq, a predicted model, not a curated record
AGAAGACUGGGUCCACACCGAGUCGGUGUCCCUAUUAUGAGGAAUUGGACACAGUUUUGGGGUGCAGACCCAUGAACAACCCAGGGGAUCAUCGACUGGACAGGGGGAGUUCAGAAGAGGAGGAGAAUGAGGAGUCUUCUGGUGAGUCACCAAGUGGGU